UCCGGUUUGACACCGGCAGUCCCGCUAGAGUCCCCACCAUUACGUGCUGGCAACUAAGGACAGGGGUUGCGCUCGUUGCGGCACUUAAGCCAACACCUCACGGCACGAGCUGACGACAGCCAUGCAGCACCUGUGCUGGCCCCUUGCGGACACGGGCUUUCACCCGCUUUAACCAGCAUGUCAAGCCUAGGUAAGGUUCUUCGCGUUGCAUCGAAUUAAGCCACAUGCUCCGCCGCUUGUGCGGGUCCCCGUCAAUUCCUUUGAGUUUUAACCUUGCGGCCGUACUCCCCAGGCGGUCAACUUAAUGCGUUAGCUGCGCCACUAAAAGCUCAAGGCUUCCAACGGCUAGUUGACAUCGUUUACGGCGUGGACUAC
Molecule: unclassified non-coding RNA, 375 nt
Filed under: uncultured bacterium
Lineage: Bacteria
Description: contains 16S-23S intergenic spacer region
Source: RNAcentral